AACCAUUCAAUGUUAAAAUUUUCAUAUUUCAUACCGUGAAAAGGACCCAAGUGUCUUUUUAACUAAAAAUUACUUUUAAUUGUUUGUGGAUAUGUUCUGACCUUCUUGCUCUAUUAAACUAUAAUAUGGAAAGUUUGAAAUCAUAGAUCACUCGAAUAUCUGAACUUAAGACAUGUCAGUGUAGCUCAUGGUGAAGAUAAUUUGCCUAAUCUACCUUAGUGGGCUGGAAUAAGAGUAGUUUCGAAGGAGUGGGGUGUUGGCCUGAAUAAUUCAAGCAAAGGUGAGAUUGUAUUAUUGGCUCUGAAACAGGCCUUUUUUUUAAUUACAGUAGUGUAACUUCACUAUUUACUACUCAAAUUAGAGAGAAAUAAUCUGAGACUUCUGUUUUGAUAUUGUUUUUGAAAGUUAAAAGGGAAAAUCUUAAAAAUUAAAGCUGAAACUCUACAUUGCUUUGGUUUUUGUAAUGAGAAACUGAUCUCUUUUAAACUAGGCUGUAGAAGCAUAUUAUGUAUGUAGCUUUUAGAAUCUUCCAGCUUUAAUUCUGAGUUCUCUGUCUGCAGGAUGAGAUUUGCAGAUCAGUUGCUAAUCAUGGGGGUAUAGACGCUAUUCUCCAUUGUAUUGACAAUAGUGGUGAGCAGUGCAACAAUACUGUGGCUAGAGCCUGCUGCUCGUUGUUGUCUAAGGUGCAAAGCUUAAAACAAAAUAUUCUUUCUUGCUCUUUUUUGGUGGAGGCCAAUUAAAUGUACAUCAUAUGAUUAUCUUCUUUUCUAAGGUCUCUCUUAGAUAAAUGCGUUCAAUUGCCAGGUGUUCUCUUUGGCUCUUUGCUGUUGUUCGUUUUUAAUAAAAUAAUCUGAUCUCGAGACAACUAUACAAUACGAGUUUAUAAAACUUUAAUAGGUAUUUGAUUUUAACCAUUUUUCGUUAUUGACAUUUUGUUAGAUGUCAUUGCGUUGAUUAAUAAAAUAAUCCAAUCCUGAGACACCAGAUAUGACUAGUUUAUGAAAUUAUAGUAGUUAUUUGUUUUUCACCAUUUUAUCAUUAGCUUUUGAUUGCAUUAUUUACAUUAUUGUAUCCUGCAAAGCUUUGUGCUCAGGAAAUCUUCAAGCAUUUCUAAUACGAUGCACUUUAUCAGUUGGCCGGAAGUGAUGUGAACAAGAGUGCUAUUGUUGAAAAGCAAGGCAUGGAUAGGCUUAUCAAACUAUCAUCAAGAUUCUCCGAUGAUCCUUCUGUGUUACAAGAGGUAAAGAAAUCAUUAGUUGUUUCUUAAAUUGAGUCAUACUUAAUUUGAAUUUCUUGACACUGAUGAAGAAAUAGGAACAUCCAUAGCUGUUUAUUCUGUGUGUUCAUGUGUUAACCCAAGGAACAACACAAGAUAAGCCCUCCCCAUGGGAUUCACAUUGAUAGCCAUAUGCAGAUAGGCCAGAACUAUUUUGCUGACUUAACUACUAACAUUUUUUUUUAAAUUGCAUCUUAUCGUUGCUGACAAAAUAAGUAGGAAUCGGAGUUAAAUUGUGGGGGUUAAUGCUGUGGACAUCAAUUAAAAAAUUAUCACGAUAUGAUUGUAAAUGUGCAAUUAGAAGUUGUAAAGCAGGCUGUGCCAACAGGCCAGGUUUUGCAUCACUGUGUAAUGCAUGUUCCAUGCCAAAUAUAGCAUUUGAUUAGCAAUUUCUGCACUACUUGGUGAAUCGAUGUGUACAUUUAACUCAUCAUGUUGCAUUUGUCUCGAGACAGGUCAUGUCCACUAUAUCCAUACUGUGUUUAAGGUCCCCUGAAAAUGCAGCCUGUGCUAUUGAAUCUGGGGCCGGAGACCUUGCUAUUCAAGCCAUGCAGAGGUUCCCAGAUUCAGACCAGCUGCAAAGGAACUCUUGUUUCAUGAUUAGGAACCUUGUGGUCAGGAAUCCAGAGAACAGGUUAUCCUUUAAAUUCGCUUUCCAUGAACUUUUCCUUUCUACUAUUAUACUAUUGAGUUUAUUUCUGAGAUCAUAACAUAUGUUAAAUCACUUAUGUUAUAGAACUCUUUUGCUCGGGAAUGGCAUUGAGGCGCUCCUCAGAAAGGCCAAGGCAUAUUUCGAUUUCUACUAAUUGAAUUUUUAGAAUAUUAUUUUGUUAAACUGCCUAACACUGCAAGAUAUUUUUGAUAUAAAAUUAAUUUAUCCAUUCAGGUUUUUGGUUAUGCUCGAAAAUUUGCAAAAUUAGGAAUUGCAGAAGUUCUCGUGGACUCACUCCAAGAAGGGAUCAGUUCGUCCAGUCUAGUAUCAGCCAGCAUUGCGUUGAAGGCUGUUGCUGUCAAUGUAAGUCUAUCUACAUGCAACCAUUCAAUGUUAAAAUUUUCAUAUUUCAUACCGUGAAAAGGACCCAAGUGUCUUUUUAACUAAAAAUUACUUUUAAUUGUUUGUGGAUAUGUUCUGACCUUCUUGCUCUAUUAAACUAUAAUAUGGAAAGUUUGAAAUCAUAGAUCACUCGAAUAUCUGAACUUAAGACAUGUCAGUGUAGCUCAUGGUGAAGAUAAUUUGCCUAAUCUACCUUAGUGGGCUGGAAUAAGAGUAGUUUCGAAGGAGUGGGGUGUUGGCCUGAAUAAUUCAAGCAAAGGUGAGAUUGUAUUAUUGGCUCUGAAACAGGC
This 2620-nucleotide long non-coding RNA is filed under the name Olea europaea (common olive). RNAcentral's name for it is "long non-coding RNA (OEUR_LNC001018)". The record is from RNAcentral. Lineage: Eukaryota; Viridiplantae; Streptophyta; Magnoliopsida; Lamiales; Oleaceae.